ACCAGAUACAAUUCAAUCAGAAACUUAGGCAGAAAAGUACUUAAUUCUUUGAUCUCAUGUGGAAUUUAGCAGCAUAAGGUGGCAAGUUUCUGAACGUGACAUAGUACUGCAAACGCACUACAGCACAAUAUCUUUAAAAUGCAAAUUUGAACAGUGAAUUGUAUGCAGUCAAGAAGCAGCUGGAAUACACAAAGCUUUCUGAAAGGACCCUCUGGGUGGCAUUUCUCUAAUGAACAGUGAACUUGCUUUCCUAAGCUGUGUCAGAUUGUUACAAAGAAGACAAAGGAACUGUGCAUGCCUGGAUAUAAACUGACUCAGAUACUUCUCCAAAUAAUUAAGAGAGUUAACUAUUCACAGAUGGGCUCCUCCUUCUGUAACUUGACUCUGGAAUUCCUCCUGUAUGGCUGAAUACUCUGCUGAUAUUUUGUUUUCUUAAACUGAAGUUUCCAACCAGCUUUGUCUCUGCAAGAGGAGGGCUUUACG
RNAcentral lists this long non-coding RNA (483 nucleotides) under Gallus gallus (chicken). RNAcentral's name for it is "long non-coding RNA NONGGAT004343". The record is from RNAcentral. Lineage: Eukaryota; Metazoa; Chordata; Aves; Galliformes; Phasianidae.